AGGGGAUAAAAAGCAGGCCAUGCGAGCCACCUGUGGCAACCCACUUGGGUUCCCUGCGAUGUUGUGGAAGGGUUGUUGUUUUGCUGUUUCCAGUAAAUGUUGGUGUUGCUCAGUUUUUGGGUCCACACUGUGUUUAUGAGCUGUAACACGCACUGCAAAGGUCUGCAGCUUCACUCCUGAGGUCAGCGAGACCAUGAACUCACCAACCUGCUGGGAGGGAUGAACAACUCCGGACGCGCCACGUUUAUGAACUGUAACACCACGAAGGUCUGCAGCUUCGCUCCUGAGGCCAGCACGACCAUGAACCCAUUAGAAGGAAUGAACAACUCCAGACGCGCUGCCCUUAGGAGCCGUAACACUCACUGUGAAGGGAAAACCCCAGCUGACAUCUUUUCUUCUGGAGACAGUACAAGAUGACGUCUUUGGAGGGCUCUUCAAAUAAAGUAUGAUGCAAAUAAAAAGAUUUUGCCUUUUGGAAACU
Homo sapiens (human) is the source of this 481-nucleotide long non-coding RNA. Lineage: Eukaryota; Metazoa; Chordata; Mammalia; Primates; Hominidae. The record is from Ensembl.